AAGAAUGAAAAGAGGGAGAGAGAAAAAAAUAUUCAAAACAAAGACGAGGGCAUCUCUCGGAUCUUUGUCUCCUUCUGUAUGUUUGAUUUUCUUGUGUGUUCACUUUUGUCUGUCCUCAUUU
This 121-nucleotide non-coding RNA is filed under the name Protocruzia adhaerens. Lineage: Eukaryota; Ciliophora; Spirotrichea. The record is from RNAcentral.